Molecule: ribosomal RNA, 420 nt
Filed under: uncultured Alphaproteobacteria bacterium
Lineage: Bacteria; Pseudomonadati; Pseudomonadota; Alphaproteobacteria
Description: bacterial SSU rRNA
Rfam family: Bacterial small subunit ribosomal RNA
Source: RNAcentral
AGAGUUUGAUCCUGGCUCAGAACGAACGCUGGCGGCAGGCCUAACACAUGCAAGUCGAACGAUGCCUUCGGGCAUAGUGGCGCACGGGUGAGUAACACGUGGGAACAUACCUUUUGGUGGGGGAUAACUUCGGGAAACUGAAGCUAAUACCGCAUACGCCCCUUGGGGGAAAGAUUUAUCGCCGAAAGAUUGGCCCGCGUCCGAUUAGCUAGUUGGUGAGGUAAUGGCUCACCAAGGCUCCGAUCGGUAGCUGGUCUGAGAGGAUGACCAGCCACACUGGGACUGAGACACGGCCCAGACUCCUACGGGAGGCAGCAGUGGGGAAUAUUGGACAAUGGGCGCAAGCCUGAUCCAGCCAUGCCGCGUGAGUGACGAAGGCCUUAGGGUUGUAAAGCUCUUCACCCACGACGAUGAUGACGG